This 194-nucleotide ribosomal RNA is filed under the name uncultured eukaryote. Its description in RNAcentral is "partial 18S ribosomal RNA". It matches the Rfam family "Eukaryotic small subunit ribosomal RNA", at positions 1 to 195 of the family's 1831-position model. The record is from RNAcentral.
UUAACCUGGUUGAUCCUGCCAGUAGUAUAUGCUUGUCUCAAAGAUUAAGUCAUGCAUGUCUAAGUAUAAAUAGCAUACUGUGAAAUUGUGAAUGACUCGUUAAAACAGUUAUAGUUUAUUUGAUAAUGAAAGCCUACAUGGAUAACGGUAGUAAUUCUAGAGCUAAUACAUGCUGUAAAACCUGACUUUUUGAA